GACGAACGCUGGCGGCGUGCUUAACACAUGCAAGUCGAACGGAAAGGCCCUGCUUUUGUGGGGUGCUCGAGUGGCGAACGGGUGAGUAACACGUGAGUAACCUGCCCUUGACUUUGGGAUAACUUCAGGAAACUGGGGCUAAUACCGGAUAGGAGCUCCUGCUGCAUGGUGGGGGUUGGAAAGUUUCGGCGGUUGGGGAUGGACUCGCGGCUUAUCAGCUUGUUGGUGGGGUAGUGGCUUACCAAGGCUUUGACGGGUAGCCGGCCUGAGAGGGUGACCGGCCACAUUGGGACUGAGAUACGGCCCAGACUCCUACGGGAGGCAGCAGUGGGGAAUAUUGCACAAUGGGCGGAAGUCUGAUGCAGCAACGCCGCGUGCGGGAUGACGGCCUUCGGGUUGUAAACCGCUUUCGCCUGUGACGAAGCGUGAGUGACGGUAAUGGGUAAAGAAGCACCGGCUAACUACGCG
This 468-nucleotide ribosomal RNA is filed under the name uncultured bacterium. RNAcentral's name for it is "partial 16S ribosomal RNA". It matches the Rfam family "Bacterial small subunit ribosomal RNA", at positions 28 to 507 of the family's 1533-position model. The record is from RNAcentral.